Molecule: ribosomal RNA, 497 nt
Filed under: uncultured bacterium
Lineage: Bacteria
Description: partial 16S ribosomal RNA
Rfam family: Bacterial small subunit ribosomal RNA
Source: RNAcentral
GAUGAACGCUGGCGGCGUGCCUAAUACAUGCAAGUCGAGCGAACGGACGAGAAGCUUGCUUCUCUGAUGUUAGCGGCGGACGGGUGAGUAACACGUGGAUAACCUACCUAUAAGACUGGGAUAACUUCGGGAAACCGGAGCUAAUACCGGAUGAUAUUUUGAACCGCAUGGUUCAAAAGUGAAAGACGGUCUUGCUGUCACUUAUAGAUGGAUCCUCGCUGCAUUAGCUAGUUGGUAAGGUAACGGCUUACCAAGGCAACGAUGCAUAGCCGACCUGAGAGGGUGAUCGGCCACACUGGAACUGAGACACGGUCCAGACUCCUACGGGGGGCAGCAGUAGGGAAUCUUCCGCAAUGGGCGAAAGCCUGACGGAGCAACGCCGCGUGAGUGAUGAAGGUCUUCGGAUCGUAAAACUCUGUUAUUAGGGAAGAACAUAUGUGUAAGUAACUGUGCACAUCUUGACGGUACCUAAUCAGAAAGCCACGGCUAACUACGUG